Non-coding RNA from Carica papaya (papaya), 1267 nucleotides. NCBI's taxonomy places the organism in Eukaryota, Viridiplantae, Streptophyta, Magnoliopsida, Brassicales, Caricaceae. The record is from RefSeq and is a predicted model, not a curated record.
CAACAUGAGAACCAUCCUUAUGGAAAUAUAGACCAACAAGUUUUUCUUUAUAUUUGCAGGUCGUGUUGCCCAUUUAAAUACACAUGACGAACUACUUCCCUUCAAGGAUGUCAUUGCAAAGGUUAUUUAUGAUUUUGGUGGAGCUUUGAAAGAUCACUUGGUGAGAUGGGAAGCUUGUUGUCAUUAUAAGAAGGACGGAGCUAUGGGCAUCGUGAACCUUGUGUAUCAAAACCUAUGCCUACUGAUUAUAUUUCUUACUAGAGACCUUGAGAAGUUAGCUCUCAAAUAUAUGACUCUUUCUUCCCUUGAUCAGGUUUCUUUCAAACCUUUAGAACAACAAAAGGAAACUGAGUAGAAAGAGAGCCGGACCAAGGGAAGAGAGGAAAGAUCAGAGAAAGGGAGAAAGCAGCCGGUUCCUUCCUCCAUUGUGCAGACCCGCGCAAAGAGCAGCUGGUUUCUUUCUCCACCGCGCCCAGAGCCGCGCGACCCAGUUUCUUCUUCCACCGCACGCAGAGAUGCAAAGAAGCUCUCAGUUUCCUUCUUCUCCAGCCGCAUGUAGAGAUGCACGACCUAGUUCCUUCUUCCACCACACGCAAAGACGCGAAGAAGCUCUCGGUUUCCUUCUUCUUCAGCCGUACGCAGAGCCGCGAGACCACCUCCGGUUCCUUCUCCCUCCGCACGCAGAGAUGCGCGAAGAUACAAUCGUCCCAGCUUCUUCCGCCACGCGCAGAGCUGCAGGAAGAGCUGCACGAUCCAGUUUCACUUCCGCCUCGUGUAGAGCUGCACGCAGAAGCUUUUCUGGCCGCGAUUUGCUUUUUUUUUCUGGCCACCGUGUACUGCAGAUCUGCCUGAGCCAAGGAAGCCGUUGAGCCGAGCAGAUUUCAACCCGAGCGGAGCCACUGCACUAAGCCGAGCCGUUUUUCAGUCCGAGUUGAGCCGUUUUUUAGCCAAGCCGCUUUUGAGCCGAGCCGCUUUUGAGCCCAGGGGAGCGAGGCAGACAAUUAGACGUACAUGAUUUCAAUAUUUAUCUAUCAUUUUUUGGUUAUUUUGGUACAGAUUAAGAGGUUUGGUUUUUAUUAUUGGCUAUUUUCUUCUUAUCUUUAGUACUCUAAAAGUGGCAGAAACAAAAAGAGUGAUGGUUUCAUAUUCGGAUGAUUCUUCGUUACAAAUUAAUUGUAUAAAACUUGAUAGUACUAAUUAUCUUGUUUGGUUAAGAUUUUAUGUAUUGUUUAUUGAAAUUAGAGAAUUUGGUUAAGAUUUUAUGUAU